GGCGAAGAGCAAGGAGUUUCCCUUCUUCAGUUCCAGCAAAAACCAGCUUUUGUUUGACUGUUUCAGACGCUGUGUUCCUAUAUGGAAUAAUAAAAGGUAAGAUCCUUUUGGUGCAAGUAACGUUGUGAAGCAUCUAUAAUUAUCUUUAGUAACAUGGUUACUAUACUCACUUUCGGCCAAUAAUCACACGAACAGCAUCAUGCAUUAUGGAACGUGCGAGUUCCUCAACAGAAUCGGGUAAAGUAGCACUGAACAAUGAGCGUAUGAUCGAAGGAUUUGAACAAGCCUUAACCACACAAUCUAUCUGCUUUAACAAGCUCUGCUCAAACAGCUUAUCAGAUUCAUCAAGGACAAGGUACUCGACCCUGUAUUCAACAGAGGUUAAGAUGAAUAUGGUCACAACAAAAUAUAAAUACACAUGUUUAUAUUCUAAUAUAUGCUAUUGACUUACUUGCUUAAGUCAAUUUUUUUAGCCUUGAUGGCUCUCUUCAGCCGCAUCGGCGUUGAUAUGAGAACAUCACAAUGCAGCUUUGAGAAAUCAGCUGUUUUCACAAGGGGUUUAGUCAUCAAU
RNAcentral lists this long non-coding RNA (571 nucleotides) under Capsella grandiflora. Its description in RNAcentral is "long non-coding RNA (CGRA_LNC000833)". The record is from RNAcentral. Lineage: Eukaryota; Viridiplantae; Streptophyta; Magnoliopsida; Brassicales; Brassicaceae.